UGGUAGGAAGAGGGUUUUAAAUAGGUAAGAAUUAAGGAGUAACUUUGUUUUCAGAUACACAAAAGAAUAUUAUAUAGAAUAUAAUAAAGGACACAGACUAGUAGUUUUUUUUAGAUUUUAAGCCCCUACUGAAGGCCAAAAAAGGCAAAAUGAACUUAAUCAUGAGUGUUCAACUAGAUAUAAGAACUGAGUGCUGCAAGGAUGAUUAAAUGUAACCACAGCCUAGCAGAACAGUGUGCAGAAUUACGAUGUUUU
RNAcentral lists this long non-coding RNA (255 nucleotides) under Bos taurus (domestic cattle). RNAcentral describes it as "long non-coding RNA NONBTAT019778". The record is from RNAcentral. Lineage: Eukaryota; Metazoa; Chordata; Mammalia; Artiodactyla; Bovidae.